UACGGGGGGGGUAAGCGUUGUUCGGAAUUAUUGGGCGUAAAGGGCUCGUAGGCGGCCAACUAAGUCGGACGUGAAAUCCCUCAGCUUAACCGAGGAACUGCCUGUCAGACUGGAUUGCUUGAGGCCGGGAGAGGCGAGUGGAAUUCCCAGUGUAGCGGUGAAAUGCGUAGAUAUCAAGAGGAACACCAGUGGCGAAGGCGAGUCCCUGGACGAUACCUGACACUGAGGCACGAAAGCUAGGGGAGCAAACAGG
RNAcentral lists this ribosomal RNA (253 nucleotides) under uncultured bacterium. RNAcentral's name for it is "partial 16S ribosomal RNA". It matches the Rfam family "Bacterial small subunit ribosomal RNA", at positions 524 to 776 of the family's 1533-position model. The record is from RNAcentral.